GCCUGUCUCAGUUCGGAUUGGAGUCUGCAACUCGACUCCAUGAAGCUGGAUUCGCUAGUAAUCGCGCAUCAGCCAUGGCGCGGUGAAUACGUUCCCGGGCCUUGUACACACCGCCCGUCAAGCCAUGGGAGCCGGGGGUGCCUGAAGUACGUGACCGCGAGGAGCGUCCUAGGGCAAAACUGGUGACUGGGGCUAAGUCGUAACAAGGUAUC
RNAcentral lists this ribosomal RNA (212 nucleotides) under uncultured bacterium. RNAcentral describes it as "partial 16S ribosomal RNA". It matches the Rfam family "Bacterial small subunit ribosomal RNA", at positions 1281 to 1500 of the family's 1533-position model. The record is from RNAcentral.